Molecule: ribosomal RNA, 504 nt
Filed under: uncultured bacterium
Lineage: Bacteria
Description: partial 16S ribosomal RNA
Rfam family: Bacterial small subunit ribosomal RNA
Source: RNAcentral
GACGAACGCUGGCGGCGUGCUUAACACAUGCAAGUCGAACGGUGAAGCGCUUGCCCUUUUGGUGGGUGUGGAUGAGUGGCGAACGGGUGAGUAACACGUGAGUAACCUGCCCUCUUCUUCUGGAUAACCUCAUGAAAGUGGGGCUAAUACGGGGUAUUCCGGGUCUGUCGCAUGGCGGGUUUGGGUAAGAUUGCGCCUUUGGGUGUUUUCGGUGGGGGAUGGGCUCGCGGCCUAUCAGCUUGUUGGUGGGGUGAUGGCCUACCAAGGCGGUGACGGGUAGCCGGCCUGAGAGGGUGGACGGCCACACGGGGACUGAGACACGGCCCAGACUCCUGCGGGAGGCAGCAGUGGGGAAUAUUGCACAAUGGGCGCAAGCCUGAUGCAGCGACGCCGCGUGAGGGAUGGAGGCCUUCGGGUUGUGAACCUCUUUCGCCAGUGAAGCAGGCCUGCUCCUGUGUGGGUGGGUUGACGGUAGCUGGAUAAGAAGCGCCGGCUAACUACGUG